Molecule: long non-coding RNA, 916 nt
Filed under: Chrysemys picta bellii (western painted turtle)
Lineage: Eukaryota; Metazoa; Chordata; Testudines; Emydidae
Description: lncRNA (ENSCPBG00000009597.1)
Source: RNAcentral
AGGACCCUCUGUGACAGGACAGGACCCUGGCCCUCAUUCACCCGGCCAGAGGAGUCUCUCAUCCUGGGAUCCCUAAAUUUGUGCCCCUAGCACAGUCUCCUCUGCUUCCAACUUGUCUCCUAGCUAGAGACCAACCUGUUCACCUUCCCUUGGGGCUUCCCGCACAGGGAUCAGGCAGAUACUCCUGGGGGUCCCUCUCUCAUGAGGGGGCUGCAUGGGCUAGGGUGGGGGAAGAUGACUGCUCCAUGUUCUCCUCAGAUUGACACUACUCUCUUCGCAGGCUCGUUUUCAGGAUUCCACGAGGGGGUUGUUCUGUGUCACCACGCCUAGGGGCUACCAUGUCAGAGCUGGAAUCCCUGCUGCACGGCUUCCUUGGGGUGCAGCCCAGAGUCUUUGGGGGAUGGCAUCCCUGCACGUUGGUAUCUGACUGGCAUCCUUAGUGACUGUGAUGCUCCCAGCCCCCUUGCCAAUGGCUGUAGCGUCUCUCGUUGCCAGGCGGUGCUAGUGGUGGUGGGGCUGCUGCAGGUGGCCUUCGGAACCCUCUUCGUCAUCGACAACUGCGCUUACACGGAUAGUGUCGGCAUCCAUUUCUUCCCAGGAAUCCUGUUAUUCUUGGCUGGCAUCAUUGCCAUCGCUGCUGACAGAGCACCUAGCAUGGCCCUGGUGAAGGCCUGUCUGGUGAUCCAGAUCAUUGCUGCAGCUGUUGUCAUGGUGAUCAACUUCCUCUACCUGAGGGACCUGCUCUCCUAUCUCAGUUUUGCCUGUGAUCUCCAGGACCAGCUCCAGAAUUGCCGUGUGCAUGAUCAGAUCAUGGGCUGUCUUUUCCACUCCAGAGCCUGUGAGAAGUUUGUUCUAUAUCAAGACGCUCGGUUCUGCCAUGUCGGAAGCAGGACCCCUGAUGCAGCGGUUCCUCCAG